GGUUAAGCGACUAAGCGUACACGGUGGAUGCCCUGGCAGUCAGAGGCGAUGAAGGACGUGCUAAUCUGCGAUAAGCGUCGGUAAGGUGAUAUGAACCGUUAUAACCGGCGAUUUCCGAAUGGGGAAACCCAGUGUGAUUCGUCACACUAUCAUUAACUGAAUCCAUAGGUUAAUGAGGCGAACCGGGGGAACUGAAACAUCUAAGUACCCCGAGGAAAAGAAAUCAACCGAGAUUCCCCCAGUAGCGGCGAGCGAACGGGGAGCAGCCCAGAGCCUGAAUCAGUGUGUGUGUUAGUGGAAGCGUCUGGAAAGGCGUGCGAUACAGGGUGACAGCCCCGUACACAAAAAUGCACAUGCUGUGAGCUCGAUGAGUAGGGCGGGACACGUGGUAUCCUGUCUGAAUAUGGGGGGACCAUCCUCCAAGGCUAAAUACUCCUGACUGACCGAUAGUGAACCAGUACCGUGAGGGAAAGGCGAAAAGAACCCCGGCGAGGGGAGUGAAAAAGAACCUGAAACCGUGUACGUACAAGCAGUGGGAGCACAGAGCAAUCUGUGUGACUGCGUACCUUUUGUAUAAUGGGUCAGCGACUUAUAUUCUGUAGCAAGGUUAACCGAAUAGGGGAGCCGAAGGGAAACCGAGUCUUAACUGGGCGUUAAGUUGCAGGGUAUAGACCCGAAACCCGGUGAUCUAGCCAUGGGCAGGUUGAAGGUUGGGUAACACUAACUGGAGGACCGAACCGACUAAUGUUGAAAAAUUAGCGGAUGACUUGUGGCUGGGGGUGAAAGGCCAAUCAAACCGGGAGAUAGCUGGUUCUCCCCGAAAGCUAUUUAGGUAGCGCCUCGUGAAUUCAUCUCCGGGGGUAGAGCACUGUUUCGGCAAGGGGGUCAUCCCGACUUACCAACCCGAUGCAAACUGCGAAUACCGGAGAAUGUUAUCACGGGAGACACACGGCGGGUGCUAACGUCC
RNAcentral lists this ribosomal RNA (967 nucleotides) under Escherichia coli. RNAcentral's name for it is "partial 23S ribosomal RNA". It matches the Rfam family "Bacterial large subunit ribosomal RNA", at positions 1 to 1006 of the family's 2925-position model. The record is from RNAcentral. Lineage: Bacteria; Pseudomonadati; Pseudomonadota; Gammaproteobacteria; Enterobacterales; Enterobacteriaceae.